This is a long non-coding RNA of Branchiostoma belcheri (Belcher's lancelet), 237 nucleotides long. RefSeq lists it as uncharacterized. The record is from RefSeq and is a predicted model, not a curated record. Lineage: Eukaryota; Metazoa; Chordata; Leptocardii; Amphioxiformes; Branchiostomatidae. The transcript is spliced from 3 exons.
UUUGACAAGACUGCAGUACUACCUUCUCUGACAGGAGGCGCUACAUACCAGGUGACACAGCAGCGGCCCUAAUCCCUGCCCAGUCUGCACAGAGACCUUGGCUUACUCAGAGGACUGAUGCCAUCUCUCCACGGGGUCCUGACUAAGAUAGAAGAGACCUCUAGUAGCUCAUUGAGGUACUGCAGAUGAGGCAUCUUGAUGCAUACCCAGAGUAAACAAUUGAUUGUGAGCGAGGUG